Molecule: transfer RNA, 812 nt
Filed under: Bradyrhizobium sp. SEMIA 6056
Lineage: Bacteria; Pseudomonadati; Pseudomonadota; Alphaproteobacteria; Hyphomicrobiales; Nitrobacteraceae
Description: partial contains 16S-23S ribosomal RNA intergenic spacer and 23S ribosomal RNA
Rfam family: tRNA (bases 167-240)
Source: RNAcentral
CGUUUUAGAAACAUUCAGGGCCAACAGUUUCAGGAUUGUUGAGCUCCAUUGGCGGGAUUUCGCCGUCUUCGUUUCUCUUUCUUCGCGGACGAACACGCGCCAGGGCUGAGCGCUGUGCGACGCACCGACGUAAGUCGGGUGCGCGCCGGCAUGUCCCUCGUGUUAGGGGCUUGUAGCUCAGUUGGUUAGAGCGCGCGCUUGAUAAGCGUGAGGUCGGAAGUUCAAGUCUUCCCAGGCCCACCAUUUUGAUCGAGUGCGAAGCAUUCGUCUUCUGGUACGGGGCCAUAGCUCAGCUGGGAGAGCGCGUGCUUUGCAAGCAUGAGGUCGUCGGUUCGAUCCCGUCUGGCUCCACCAGAUGGAAUUGAAGCUCGACAAUGCGCCUUGUGCAGGAAGCUCUGUUCAAAUCGUCCGCGAAACAUCACUUCGCACUCAUUGGUCCGGAUGGACGGUGACGUGCGUGUUUUCUGACAUCGUAAAGAGGAGAUCGAUCCGAGUUUGGAUCUGCGAAGCAAUUCGCGGGUACCAUUCCUAAUCUCCAGAUCGUUUUCGGCGCUCGUGCAUCGCAGCUCAUCGCAAGAUGAGUGAGAUGAGCGAGUUGUAAAACGAUCUUUGUAGCGAAGCUUGACCGCCUCGCUAUCGGGCCGAUCUUAAGAAGCAAGCUGGUCUUUCUAGUCAAUGUCCGGCUGUGCAAUCGCAUUCAUCGAGGAUGCGCGCCUAGGACUUCGGUCUUUGGGCAGUUGUGCAGACAACAUUCUGCCGAGUGUGUGGACAUUGAUAAUGAGAGCAUCAAGUGCCUUAAGGGUGUCUCGGUG